RNAcentral lists this ribosomal RNA (730 nucleotides) under Arthrobacter sp. CK428. RNAcentral's name for it is "bacterial SSU rRNA". It matches the Rfam family "Bacterial small subunit ribosomal RNA", at positions 546 to 1275 of the family's 1533-position model. The record is from RNAcentral. Lineage: Bacteria; Bacillati; Actinomycetota; Actinomycetes; Micrococcales; Micrococcaceae.
CGGAUUAUUGGGCGUAAGAGCUCGUAGGCGGUUUGUCGCGUCUGCCGUGAAAGUCCGGGGCUCAACUCCGGAUCUGCGGUGGGUACGGGCAGACUAGAGUGAUGUAGGGGAGACUGGAAUUCCUGGUGUAGCGGUGAAAUGCGCAGAUAUCAGGAGGAACACCGAUGGCGAAGGCAGGUCUCUGGGCAUUAACUGACGCUGAGGAGCGAAAGCAUGGGGAGCGAACAGGAUUAGAUACCCUGGUAGUCCAUGCCGUAAACGUUGGGCACUAGGUGUGGGGGACAUUCCACGUUUUCCGCGCCGUAGCUAACGCAUUAAGUGCCCCGCCUGGGGAGUACGGCCGCAAGGCUAAAACUCAAAGGAAUUGACGGGGGCCCGCACAAGCGGCGGAGCAUGCGGAUUAAUUCGAUGCAACGCGAAGAACCUUACCAAGGCUUGACAUGGACCGGACCGCCGCAGAAAUGUGGUUUCCCCUUUGGGGCCGGUUCACAGGUGGUGCAUGGUUGUCGUCAGCUCGUGUCGUGAGAUGUUGGGUUAAGUCCCGCAACGAGCGCAACCCUCGUUCUAUGUUGCCAGCGCGUUAUGGCGGGGACUCAUAGGAGACUGCCGGGGUCAACUCGGAGGAAGGUGGGGACGACGUCAAAUCAUCAUGCCCCUUAUGUCUUGGGCUUCACGCAUGCUACAAUGGCCGGUACAAAGGGUUGCGAUACUGUGAGGUGGAGCUAAUCCC